CAAAAAGCCCAUCAUCUUGAGAGAGCCACUGAAGGUUAUUAGACAAGCAAGGAGGCCCUCCAUCAUCUGAUCCAUUCAGGUCACAGCCCAAUCAGGAGGCGUCACAGGUCAUGGAGGGAGAUGGCAAGAGAUCAACAGGAGCCCUGCCAAGGACUGCAGGGUUUGGCGAGAGGUUCGGAAUCUUCCAAGGCAAACAGAAAACCACUUGGAACAGUGCCUAAAAAGCAUGGGACAAGCAAAAGAACAAA
This is a long non-coding RNA of Podarcis raffonei (Aeolian wall lizard), 248 nucleotides long. RefSeq lists it as uncharacterized. The record is from RefSeq and is a predicted model, not a curated record. NCBI's taxonomy places the organism in Eukaryota, Metazoa, Chordata, Lepidosauria, Squamata, Lacertidae. The transcript has 2 exons.